RNAcentral lists this ribosomal RNA (1036 nucleotides) under Cylindrocladiella sp. P. del a. RNAcentral describes it as "eukaryotic LSU rRNA". The stretch from base 468 to 1036 matches the Rfam family "Eukaryotic large subunit ribosomal RNA", at positions 1 to 581 of the family's 3401-position model. Lineage: Eukaryota; Fungi; Ascomycota; Sordariomycetes; Hypocreales; Nectriaceae. The record is from RNAcentral.
UAUUACAGAGUUUACAACUCCCAAACCCCUGUGAACAUACCAUUCAUUNCCUCGGCGGUGUCUUGCUUCGGCGAGCCCGCCAGAGGCCCCAACAAACUCUUGUUUUUUUAGUAUUAUCUGAGUGACAAGUUUAAUAAAUCAAAACUUUCACCAACGGAUCUCUUGGUUCUGGCAUCGAUGAAGAACGCAGCGAAAUGCGAUAAGUAAUGUGAAUUGCAGAAUUCAGUGAAUCAUCGAAUCUUUGAACGCACAUUGCGCCCGCCAGUAUUCUGGCGGGCAUGCCUGUUCGAGCGUCAUUUCAACCCUCAAACCCCCGGGUUUGGUGUUGGAGAUCGGCAUGAGUCCUUCGGGGCGACGCCGUCUCCCAAAUAUAGUGGCGGUCUCGCUGUAGCUUCCUAUGCGUAGUAGCACACCUCGCACUGGAAAGCAGCGCGGCCACGCCGUUAAACCCCCAACUUUUCUGAGUUUGACCUCGAAUCAGGUAGGAUUACCCGCUGAACUUAAGCAUAUCAAUAAGCGGAGGAAAAGAAACCAACAGGGAUUGCCCUAGUAACGGCGAGUGAAGCGGCAACAGCUCAAAUUUGAAAUCUGGCCUUCGGGUCCGAGUUGUAAUUUGUAGAGGAUGUUUUUGGUGAGGUACCUUCCGAGUUCCCUGGAACGGGACGCCAUAGAGGGUGAGAGCCCCGUCUGGUUGGAUACCGAUCCUCUGUAAAACUCCUUCAACGAGUCGAGUAGUUUGGGAAUGCUGCUCUAAAUGGGAGGUAUAUGUCUUCUAAAGCUAAAUAUUGGCCAGAGACCGAUAGCGCACAAGUAGAGUGAUCGAAAGAUGAAAAGCACUUUGAAAAGAGAGUUAAAAAGUACGUGAAAUUGUUGAAAGGGAAGCGCUUAUGACCAGACUUGGACUUGGUUGAUCAUCCUGGGUUCUCCCUGGUGCACUCUUCCAGUUCAGGCCAGCAUCAGUUCAUCGCGGGGGAUAAAGGCUUCGGGAAUGUGGCUCCCUCGGGAGUGUUAUAACCCGUUGUGUAAUACCCUGCUU